UAACAGGAUUAGAUACCCUGGUAGUCCACGCCGUAAACGAUGAGUGCUAGGUGUCAGGGGUAUCGACCCCCCUGGUGCCGCAGCUAACGCAAUAAGCACUCCGCCUGGGGAGUACGGCCGCAAGGUUGAAACUCAAAGGAAUUGACGGGGGCCCGCACAAGCGGUGGAGCAUGUGCAUUAAUUCGUCACUAACCGAAGAACCUUACCAGGGUUUGACAUCCUCUGACAUGCCAUGAAAGUGGUCCUUCCCCGCAAGGGGACAGAGAGACAGGUGUUGCAUGGUUGUCGUCAGCUCGUGUCGUGAGAUGCUGGGUUAAGUCCCGCAACGAGCGCAACCCUCACCCAAUGUUGCCAGCGUCAAGUCGGGCACUCUUUGGGAACUGCCCGUGUAAGCGGGAGGAAGGUGGGGAUGACGUCAAAUCGGCAUGGCCCUUACAUCCUGGGCUUGACACAUGCUACAAUGGCCGUUAAACAAAGGGAAGCAAUACCGCGAGGUGGAGCCAAUCUCAAAAAUACGGUCUCAGUUCAGAUUGCAGGCUGCAACUCGCCUGCAUGAAGUCGGAAUCGCUAGUAACCGCAGGUCAGCUAAACUGCGGUGAGUACGUUCCCGGGCCUUGUACACACUGCCCGUCAAGUCACCUGAGUUGUCUGCAGCCGAAGCCAGUGGCUUAACCGCAAGGAGAGAGCUGUCUAAGCUGUGGGGAGCGAGGGGGACUAAGUCGUAAC
This 726-nucleotide ribosomal RNA is filed under the name uncultured bacterium. RNAcentral describes it as "bacterial SSU rRNA". It matches the Rfam family "Bacterial small subunit ribosomal RNA", at positions 770 to 1492 of the family's 1533-position model. The record is from RNAcentral.